AAUAAGAGAAGGUUAUAAAGACUAUGGAGGAGAUGAUGAAGAAGGUGAGGAGAAGGAGACAUUUUUUAAAUUAGGCUAAAUUACAUAAAACCCUCCUGUCAAAACUCGAUUUUUCACUUUUCCCCCCUAUCAUUUAAAAACCUACACUUUGUCUUUGUUUCCUUGUAAAAUAAAAAAUGUUCACUUCGCCCCCUGCCGUUAGUAAUCCGUUAGGGUUCCGUUUAUAAAGUAUUAUUAUAUAUUUUUUUAUGCCAAAAAUGCCCUCAUCUUUAUCUCCUGUGAACAUGGGUGAGGGGCAAAAUGGUUAUUUUAUCAUCACAGUUCACACCGUACCCUUAUGUGAAUAUUUUUCAUUUUACAAGGGGGCAAAGUAUAGGUUUUUAAAUGGCAUAGGGAGAAAGUGAAAAAUCGGGUUUUUAUUGGGAGGUUUUCUGUAAUUUAGCCUUUAAAUUA
Molecule: long non-coding RNA, 453 nt
Filed under: Ananas comosus (pineapple)
Lineage: Eukaryota; Viridiplantae; Streptophyta; Magnoliopsida; Poales; Bromeliaceae
Description: long non-coding RNA (ACOM_LNC037608)
Source: RNAcentral